UACUGAAGACAGUACAGUGCAGUACAGGGCAACGAAUCUUAGAGAACGAUCUGCAUGCUGUUAUCUUUAUUGUUUGUACUUAAAACUACUUUCUUAUUUAGUUAGUAUAUUAGUAAUUGGUAUUUGAAGUUGGUAAAUCAUGCGCGGUGUGGAUCCAAGCGUCCUCCUCCUCAUCAUCGUCCUCCUCACCCUCAGCUUCCCCCGCAGCCUGUGGUGUGAGUCACGGCCGACAGCCAGAGUGAAUCACUGCUGCUGACUUCAGAUGAGUCUGAUCAAACUCUGAGGGUCUCCGAGAAAUACACGUUCACUCUCUGAUGAUGGAGACGGCUCUAGAGCUCUGGAUUAUGUGGUUGAAGCCUCUGGAUUUUACCCCCAUCCUCCCCACCACCACCAGGUUGGCCCCCGUCUAUUAACACAAAGGGGGUUGGCUGCGCCCCUGCCUUCAUCAUCAGGCAGGAAGUACAUGAAUCCUUGACCCUCUGGAUGCAAGCUAUGGACGGGGCAUACGCCAAAGAACUAUAUACUUUACCAGUUUCGACAUUGUCACUGACCAGUUGUCUAAAUAAAUGUUCAUUGUCACAUAAUCUUGCCUCCCGAGUCUUUC
Long non-coding RNA from Triplophysa rosa, 604 nucleotides. RefSeq lists it as uncharacterized. NCBI's taxonomy places the organism in Eukaryota, Metazoa, Chordata, Actinopteri, Cypriniformes, Nemacheilidae. The record is from RefSeq and is a predicted model, not a curated record. The transcript has 3 exons.